GUUAUAUGGUCAAGCGAAUAAGCGCACACGGUGGAUGCCUUGGCGGUCAGAGGCGAUGAAGGACGUGGCAGCCUGCGAAAAGUAUCGGGGAGCUGGCAACAAGCUUUGAUCCGGUAAUGUCCGAAUGGGGAAACCCACCCGCUUGCGGGUAUCCUGCAGUGAAUACAUAGCUGCUGGAAGCGAACCUGGUGAACUGAAAUAUCUAAGUAACCAGAGGAAAAGAAAUCAACCGAGAUUCCGUAAGUAGCGACGAGCGAACGCGGACUAGCCCUUAAGCUGAUUUGGUUCUAGGAAAACACUCUGGAAAGAGUGGCCAUAGAAGGUGAUAGCCCUGUAUCUGAAAGGGCCAUUUCAGUGAAGACGAGUAGGGCGGGGCACGUGAAACCCUGUCUGAACAUGGGGGGACCAUCCUCCAAGGCUAAAUACUACUGACCGACCGAUAGUGAACCAGUACCGUGAGGGAAAGGCG
RNAcentral lists this ribosomal RNA (469 nucleotides) under Mesorhizobium sp. M8A.F.Ca.ET.142.01.1.1. RNAcentral's name for it is "partial 23S ribosomal RNA". It matches the Rfam family "Bacterial large subunit ribosomal RNA", at positions 1 to 516 of the family's 2925-position model. Lineage: Bacteria; Pseudomonadati; Pseudomonadota; Alphaproteobacteria; Hyphomicrobiales; Phyllobacteriaceae. The record is from RNAcentral.